GGGCGGUUAGCUCAGCUGGGAGAGCAUCGGCCUUACAAGCCGAGGGUCGUAGGUUCGAUCCCUGCACCGCCCA
This 73-nucleotide transfer RNA is filed under the name Calditerrivibrio nitroreducens. RNAcentral describes it as "tRNA-Val". It matches the Rfam family "tRNA". Rfam says of the family: Transfer RNA (tRNA) molecules are approximately 80 nucleotides in length. Their secondary structure includes four short double-helical elements and three loops (D, anti-codon, and T loops). The record is from RNAcentral. Lineage: Bacteria; Pseudomonadati; Deferribacterota; Deferribacteres; Deferribacterales; Calditerrivibrionaceae. RNAcentral also lists the same sequence under 6 other names.